UACGUAGGGGGCGAGCGUUGUCCGGAUUUAUUGGGCGUAAAGAGCGUGUAGGCGGCCAGGUAGGUCCGUUGUGAAAACUCGAGGCUCAACCUCGAGACGUCGGCGGAAACCCUCUGGCUAGAGUCCGGAAGAGGAGAGUGGAAUUCCUGGUGUAGCGGUGGAAUGCGCAGAUAUCAGGAGGAACACCAAUGGCGAAGGCAGCUCGCUGGGACGGUACUGACGCUGAGGCGCGAAAGCGUGGGGAGCAAACAGG
This 253-nucleotide ribosomal RNA is filed under the name uncultured bacterium. RNAcentral's name for it is "partial 16S ribosomal RNA". It matches the Rfam family "Bacterial small subunit ribosomal RNA", at positions 524 to 776 of the family's 1533-position model. The record is from RNAcentral.